AACGCUGGCGGCAGGCUUAACACAUGCAAGUCGAGCGGGCGUAGCAAUACGUCAGCGGCAGACGGGUGAGUAACGCGUGGGAACGUACCUUUUGGUUCGGAACAACACAGGGAAACUUGUGCUAAUACCGGAUAAGCCCUUACGGGGAAAGAUUUAUCGCCGAAAGAUCGGCCCGCGUCUGAUUAGCUAGUUGGUGAGGUAAUGGCUCACCAAGGCGACGAUCAGUAGCUGGUCUGAGAGGAUGAUCAGCCACAUUGGGACUGAGACACGGCCCAAACUCCUACGGGAGGCAGCAGUGGGGAAUAUUGGACAAUGGGGGCAACCCUGAUCCAGCCAUGCCGCGUGAGUGAUGAAGGCCCUAGGGUUGUAAAGCUCUUUUGUGCGGGAAGAUAAUGACGGUACCGCAAGAAUAAGCCCCGGCUAACUUCGUGCCAGCAGCCGCGGUAAUACGAAGGGGGCUAGCGUUGCUCGGAAUCACUGGGCGUAAAGGGUGCGUAGGCGGGUCUUUAAGUCAGGGGUGAAAUCCUGGAGCUCAACUCCAGAACUGCCUUUGAUACUGAAGAUCUUGAGUUCGGGAGAGGUGAGUGGAACUGCGAGUGUAGAGGUGAAAUUCGUAGAUAUUCGCAAGAACACCAGUGGCGAAGGCGGCUCACUGGCCCGAUACUGACGCUGA
This 673-nucleotide ribosomal RNA is filed under the name Bradyrhizobium sp. D220b. Its description in RNAcentral is "bacterial SSU rRNA". It matches the Rfam family "Bacterial small subunit ribosomal RNA", at positions 32 to 749 of the family's 1533-position model. The record is from RNAcentral. Lineage: Bacteria; Pseudomonadati; Pseudomonadota; Alphaproteobacteria; Hyphomicrobiales; Nitrobacteraceae.